GACGAACGCUGGCGGCGGGCUUAACACAUGCAAGUCGAACGGAAAGGCCCUGCUUUCGUGGGGUGCUCGAGUGGCGAACGUGUGAGAAACACGUGAGUAACCUGCGCUGGACUUUGGGAUAACUGCAGGAAAGUGGGGCUAAUACCGGAUAGGAGCGGCAGCUGGAUGGUGGGGGUCGGAAAGUUUCGGCGGAUGUGGAUGGAUUCGCGGCUUAUCAGCUUGUUGGUGGGGUAGUUGCUUACCAAGGCUUUGACGGGUAGCCGGCCUGAGAGGGUGAACGGCGACAUUGGGACUGAGAUACGGCCCCGACUCCUACGGGAGGCAGCAGUGGGGAAUAUUGCACAAUGGGCGGCAGCCUGAUGCAGCAACGCCGCGUGCGGGAUGACGGCCUUCGGGUUGUAAAACGCUUUCGCCUGUGACGCAGCGUGAGUGACGGUAAUCGGUAAAGAAGCACCGGCUAACUACGUG
This 468-nucleotide ribosomal RNA is filed under the name uncultured bacterium. RNAcentral describes it as "partial 16S ribosomal RNA". It matches the Rfam family "Bacterial small subunit ribosomal RNA", at positions 28 to 507 of the family's 1533-position model. The record is from RNAcentral.